UCCCAGGUAGCUCAGCUGGUAAAGAAUCUGCCUGCAAUGCAGGAGACCCUGGUUUGAUUCCUGGCUCAGGAA
This 72-nucleotide transfer RNA is filed under the name Bos taurus (domestic cattle). It matches the Rfam family "tRNA". Rfam says of the family: Transfer RNA (tRNA) molecules are approximately 80 nucleotides in length. Their secondary structure includes four short double-helical elements and three loops (D, anti-codon, and T loops). Further hydrogen bonds mediate the characteristic L-shaped molecular structure. tRNAs have two regions of fundamental functional importance: the anti-codon, which is responsible for specific mRNA codon recognition, and the 3' end, to which the tRNAs corresponding amino acid is attached (by aminoacyl-tRNA synthetases). tRNAs cope with the degeneracy of the genetic code in two manners: having more than one tRNA (with a specific anti-codon) for a particular amino acid; and 'wobble' base-pairing, i.e. permitting non-standard base-pairing at the 3rd anti-codon position. RNAcentral also lists the same sequence under 2 other names. Lineage: Eukaryota; Metazoa; Chordata; Mammalia; Artiodactyla; Bovidae. The record is from Rfam by way of RNAcentral.